UUUGAGGCAACUUGGGAAUUUUAGGCUUCAUAUCUUCAAAGCCUGGUGGCAAGCUCUCAUCAGCUCCAUAACCACCCGAUCGUGACGCCAAUCCUACUUCUGAAGCAGACUAAGUAUAGGAGCCCUAUAAUGGCUGCACAGACUGAUCAAUGAAGUGAACAAGAAUUGGCAAAUGCGAAUAAUUUUUAAUCAAUAAUCGAACAUAUAGAGGAUACACUAGCGUAACCGAUAGACAAUUAGAGAUGAGAAGUUACCACGAUUGGGAAAGCGGCGAGGAGAGGGGAGGAGCAAGGUCAGAAUGCAAAAAUUGCUAACAUCACGACCGAGAUCUUUGUCGAUUUCGAUGAGUAGUUUGGAUUCUUCAACGAGCUGCGGAGAAGCUAAUAAGAGAACUAACACAAACCUUUCAGAAAGGAUAGAAACCUAGCUCUAGAUAAGAACUAUAUAUGCAUCAAUAGUAAGAUCGACAAUAAUCCUUCAUUUUUGACGGAACAUUCGCAAUAGAGCACUAAGAAAUCAAACUUGAAAAAGAAAUAAAAUGCAGAGAAAGAAACAAGAAUUAGAUGAAUAGAAGUAAAAAUAAACCAUUUAACACAAAAAUCGGCAGCGCAAGACUGCGGCUUCUCAUCGGUGACAGCGCCAAAUCGCAGAGGUUUGGAUUGGCGAGCAGAUUCUCGUCGAAGAUGGAAGCUUUCUCGCUAUGGAUUUGGGGAAUUCUCUUCAAG
Molecule: long non-coding RNA, 725 nt
Filed under: Salvia miltiorrhiza (redroot sage)
Lineage: Eukaryota; Viridiplantae; Streptophyta; Magnoliopsida; Lamiales; Lamiaceae
Description: long non-coding RNA (SMIL_LNC000517)
Source: RNAcentral